UGUGGGAGCGAGCUUGCUCGCGAUAGCGUCGGAUCAGCCUGUAUUGAUAUUGACUGACACACCGCCAUCGCGAGCAAGCUCGCUCCCACA
This 90-nucleotide unclassified non-coding RNA is filed under the name Pseudomonas kilonensis. Lineage: Bacteria; Pseudomonadati; Pseudomonadota; Gammaproteobacteria; Pseudomonadales; Pseudomonadaceae. The record is from RNAcentral.